Panicum virgatum (switchgrass) is the source of this 818-nucleotide long non-coding RNA. RefSeq lists it as uncharacterized. The transcript is spliced from 2 exons. NCBI's taxonomy places the organism in Eukaryota, Viridiplantae, Streptophyta, Magnoliopsida, Poales, Poaceae. The record is from RefSeq and is a predicted model, not a curated record.
UCUCGCGGCGGCAGGCUGCGGCCGCCGGGGGAGCACAGGGUCAGCACGAAGGCCGCCCUGGUCGCGAGCCGGAACGCGAUCGUGUCAGUGCUGUGACCAUUCACGCCCUUGCGCUUUACCAGAUCUACUUGAUCCCUGCUGUGCUCAUCGUUGUGGGCAAGGCGCUCAGCGUCUCGUGAAGGACCCGGCCAAUCAGGAUGCUGCGCAUCUGUUCCAUUCCGGUUCCAACAUCUACAAUGCCGGAUACCCGGCUCUGUCUGUUGUGCACUGCUGCUCCCUCAUUCCCUACAUUCUGCUGAGAUUGGUGUGAUUUGUGAGGGAUAAGUGCGUGGGAUCGUCGCUGGCGGCUUGAUGCCCGAAUGUGAGGUGACCUUUUGAGCUGAACUUUCCACGCUCAGAAGGAAGAUGAAUAGACUGAUGGAAGUGCUCAGUGAACUUUUGAGCUGAAUAGACUUGCCCCAGAAUUACACGGCAUGAUUCCAGUAUAGUGUGUUCCUAUAAUUUGACUCCCUCCGUCAGAACCGUUCUGGGCAUGCCAGUAUUCCUUUCUUUUUCUAGCUAGUUAUGCAGGUUAAGGUGAAUAGGAUCUAUAUAGCAAGACUUAAUGCAUGGGUUUAUCGUGUUUGAAUUGGCUGUCUAGCAUACUUAUGUUUCAUGCCGCAGAGCUGCAUACGGUACCUGUAUGCUAAUCCUUUUUUUAUCAUUGCUUGAUUGGUCCGCGGCUGUGCGGUGUCAUGUAAAAUUGUGAGUUACUCAAUACACCUGAUAACCCAAUGUAUCAGUUGCAAUGCUGGGGUUGGCAGUUAUUCCGUUUGUUA